CUGGCUUGUGGCAGCCAAGCGU
This 22-nucleotide small nuclear RNA is filed under the name Arabidopsis thaliana (thale cress). RNAcentral describes it as "snRNA_05076". The record is from RNAcentral. Lineage: Eukaryota; Viridiplantae; Streptophyta; Magnoliopsida; Brassicales; Brassicaceae.